RNAcentral lists this ribosomal RNA (253 nucleotides) under uncultured bacterium. RNAcentral describes it as "partial 16S ribosomal RNA". It matches the Rfam family "Bacterial small subunit ribosomal RNA", at positions 524 to 776 of the family's 1533-position model. The record is from RNAcentral.
GACGAAGGGGGCUAGCGUUGUUCGGAAUUACUGGGCGUAAAGCGCGUGUAGGCGGUUGUCCAAGUUGGAUGUGAAAGCCUUGAGCUUAACUCAAGAAAUGCAUUCAGGACUGGAUGGCUAGAGGACCGGAGAGGAUAGUGGAAUUCCCAGUGUAGUGGUGAAAUACGUAGAGAUUGGGAAGAACACCAGUGGCGAAGGCGGCUAUCUGGACGGUUUCUGACGCUAAGACGCGAAAGCGUGGGGAGCGAACGGG